UAGGGAAUCUUCGGCAAUGGACGGAAGUCUGACCGAGCAACGCCGCGUGAGUGAAGAAGGUUUUCGGAUCGUAAAGCUCUGUUGUAAGAGAAGAACGAGUGUGAGAGUGGAAAGUUCACACUGUGACGGUAUCUUACCAGAAAGGGACGGCUAACUACGUGCCAGCAGCCGCGGUAAUACGUAGGUCCCGAGCGUUGUCCGGAUUUAUUGGGCGUAAAGCGAGCGCAGGCGGUUAGAUAAGUCUGAAGUUAAAGGCUGUGGCUUAACCAUAGUACGCUUUGGAAACUGUUUAACUUGAGUGCAAGAGGGGAGAGUGGAAUUCCAUGUGUAGCGGUGAAAUGCGUAGAUAUAUGGAGGAACACCGGUGGCGAAAGCGGCUCUCUGGCUUGUAACUGACGCUGAGGCUCGAAAGCGUGGGGAGCAAACAGGAUUAGAUACCCUGGUAGUCCACGCCGUAAACGAUGAGUGCUAGGUGUUAGACCCUUUCCGGGGUUUAGUGCCGCAGCUAACGCAUUAAGCACUCCGCCUGGGGAGUACGACCGCAAGGNUG
RNAcentral lists this ribosomal RNA (550 nucleotides) under uncultured bacterium. RNAcentral describes it as "bacterial SSU rRNA". It matches the Rfam family "Bacterial small subunit ribosomal RNA", at positions 355 to 896 of the family's 1533-position model. The record is from RNAcentral.